This 255-nucleotide ribosomal RNA is filed under the name uncultured bacterium. RNAcentral's name for it is "partial 16S ribosomal RNA". It matches the Rfam family "Bacterial small subunit ribosomal RNA", at positions 1245 to 1500 of the family's 1533-position model. The record is from RNAcentral.
AGAAGCAAUACCGCGAGGUGGAGCAAAACUUCAAAAAUGGUCUCAGUUCGGACUGUAGGCUGCAACUCGCCUACACGAAGUUGGAAUUGCUAGUAAUCGUAGAUCAGCAUGCCACGGUGAAUACGUUCCCGGGUCUUGUACACACCGCCCGUCACACCAUGGGAGCUGGUAACACCCGAAGUCAGUAGUCUAACCGCAAGGAGGACGCUGCCGAAGGUGGGAUUAGCGACUGGGGUGAAGUCGUAACAAGGUAUC